This is a long non-coding RNA of Eptesicus fuscus (big brown bat), 403 nucleotides long. RefSeq lists it as uncharacterized. The record is from RefSeq and is a predicted model, not a curated record. NCBI's taxonomy places the organism in Eukaryota, Metazoa, Chordata, Mammalia, Chiroptera, Vespertilionidae. The transcript has 4 exons.
CGAGAGGAUAAUGAUUAAGGAUGACAGCUACACUAAAAUAAAGAUGCAAAUUGACUGUACCUUCGCAACACCCACCAGCCAAUCAGGAAUUCUACAUAUAAGUGAGAUCAUAUGGCAUUUGUCUUUCUCUAACUGGCUGAUUUCACUUAGCAUAAUACUCUCCAGGUCCAUCCAUGCUGUCGCAAAAGAUGCGGAAACCUGCUUUAAGAAACAAAUUGCCCAGCUGAAGCCGGUUUGGCUCAGUGGAUAGAGCGUUGAACUGCGGACUGAAGGGUCCCAGGUUCGAUUCCGGUCAGGGGCAUGUACCUUGGUUGCGGGCACAUCCCCGGAGGGGGGUGUGCAGGAGGCAGCUGAUUGAUGUUUCUCUCUCAUCGAUGUUUCUAACUCUCUGUCUCUCUCCCUU